This 224-nucleotide long non-coding RNA is filed under the name Gossypium barbadense (sea-island cotton). Its description in RNAcentral is "long non-coding RNA (GBAR_LNC009703)". Lineage: Eukaryota; Viridiplantae; Streptophyta; Magnoliopsida; Malvales; Malvaceae. The record is from RNAcentral.
CAAAGAUGGCGUUGAAAGAAUUCGUGUCAAUGUAGAGAUUAUUAGAGUUGUAUGACCCAAAUUCUAAGAGAUUGCUUACAAGUCAAGUUAAAUAAAAAUAUAUUUUCUUUCUAGGAGAUUUAGUAUUUAUUAGUAUAAUAUAUUUCACAUUUAUUAGCAUAGUUUAUUGGACUUGCUAAUUUAGCCUAUAAAUAGGCUCUUUUACAACCUUAGAAAGACACACC